GAUGAACGCUGACAGAAUGCUUAACACAUGCAAGUCUACUUGAAGCUAACUUCGGUUAGUGGAGGGUGGCGGACGGGUGAGUAACGCGUAAAGAACUUGCCUCACAGUUUGGGACAACAUUUGGAAACGAAUGCUAAUACCGGAUAUUAUGAUACUUCUGCAUGGAAGAAUCAUGAAAGCUAUAUGCGCUGUGAGAGAGCUUUGCGUCCCAUUAGCUAGUUGGAGAGGUAACGGCUCACCAAGGCGAUGAUGGGUAGCCGGCCUGAGAGGGUGAACGGCCACAAGGGGACUGAGACACGGCCCUUACUCCUACGGGAGGCAGCAGUGGGGAAUAUUGGACAAUGGACCAAAAGUCUGAUCCAGCAAUUCUGUGUGCACGAUGAAGUUUUUCGGAAUGUAAAGUGCUUUCAGUUGGGAAGAAGCAAGUGACGGUACCAACAGAAGAAGCGACGGCUAAAUACGUGCCAGCAGCCGCGGUAAUACGUAUGUCGCAAGCGUUAUCCGGAUUUAUUGGGCGUAAAGCGCGUCUAGGUGGUUAUAUAAGUCUGAUGUGAAAAUGCGGGGCUCAACUCCGUAUUGCGUUGGAAACUGUAUGACUAGAGUACUGGAGAGGUAAGCGGAACUACAAGUGUAGAGGUGAAAUUCGUAAUAUUUGUAGGAAUGCCGAUGGGGAAGCCAGCUUACUGGACAGAUACUGACGCUAAAGCGCGAAAGCGUGGGUAGCAAACAGG
This 731-nucleotide ribosomal RNA is filed under the name uncultured bacterium. RNAcentral describes it as "bacterial SSU rRNA". It matches the Rfam family "Bacterial small subunit ribosomal RNA", at positions 28 to 776 of the family's 1533-position model. The record is from RNAcentral.